This 932-nucleotide long non-coding RNA is filed under the name Mytilus galloprovincialis (Mediterranean mussel). Lineage: Eukaryota; Metazoa; Mollusca; Bivalvia; Mytilida; Mytilidae. The record is from RNAcentral.
AAGGCUUUAAUAUAAAAGUAAAGAAACGCGCAUAUAUAAACAUAUAAAUGGAAAUUGAUUACAGUAAAUAUACAUCUUAACUUCACAGUAAAUGUACAUCUUAACUUCGCAGUAAAUAUGCAUCUUAACUUCACGGUAAAUAUGCAUCUUAACUUCACAGUAAAUAUGCAUCUUAACUUUACAGUAAAUAUACAUUUUAACUUAUCUUAUCUUCACAGUAAAUAUGCAUCUUAACUUCACAGUAAAUAUAUAUCUUAACUUUACAGUAAAUAUACACCUUAACUUCGGACUAACAAUACAUUUUUUUCUAAUACAUUGUAACUUUACAGUAAAUAUACACCUUAACUUCGGACUAACAAUACAUUUUUUUCUAAUACAUUUGUACUUAGUUUGUUCCAAACUUAAUAACUCAAAGUAAAGAGGAUUGGCCAUUAGCAGAUGGUAGAGGGUCUGGAUGGGAGUUUCUUCAUUCCUGUGAGUUUCUUCAUUCCUGUACUAAUUCAUUUUUUCUUAAACAUAAUUCUUUCUUAUCACGCCCCUGGUAGAAUGAAGGGCGAAAAAAAUAAGUAUAGAGAAAACUGAGCAAAAAAAUAAAGGUGUUUAGUACUCCAUUAUUCUAUAACCUUUAUUUUUUUGCUCAGUUUUUUCGAUACUUUUUUUUGCCCUUCCCUCUAUCAGGAGCGGGUCAAUUCAUUUUAAAAGGGAGUUCCAACCAAAUGUCCCCAUUCAAAAGCAUUGAUCGUCAAGAAAUGGCCAAUGGCCGGUGUUUCAAUACCGGGAACCUCCAAAUGGAAACGCAACUGUUUAUAAUUUUGACCAUAGUCUCUAUUCUGUAAAUCUCAACUAGACCGUCAUGAACUAUUUCAAAUGGUCAACUCUAGUGUAAACAAAAGUUGAAAGUGAGUAAAAUAGUAAAUUAUUCUCUAUUCUUU